This 502-nucleotide long non-coding RNA is filed under the name Rattus norvegicus (Norway rat). RNAcentral describes it as "long non-coding RNA NONRATT011630". Lineage: Eukaryota; Metazoa; Chordata; Mammalia; Rodentia; Muridae. The record is from RNAcentral.
GCUUACCUGAUUCAGACAAGAAAAGACACGCAAUGAAAACAGUAAGAGCCUGUUCAACGGGAUUUCCACUCGGAAGGACAAAAUUAGGCUCUUAGCUUCUGAUCUUGUACAGAAAAGGAUUCAAGGCGGAUGGAAGGCCUUAAUUUAAAACUCGAAACACUGGAACUUCGGGAUGAAAAUAUAGGACUCUCUACGACACUGGGGUGGGUAAGAAUUUUCAGAACAGAGCUUUCAUAGCAUUGGAACUAGACUCGGGCGUCAGCAGAUGGGACGACAUGAGAUGACAAUGUUCUGACAGCAAGAGAAACUAUCAGCAAAGCCAACAGCCUAAAGAAGGGAGAAAAUCUUUAACCAGCUAUACUUCAGACAAGGGGCUAAUAUACAGGAUUCCCAAAGAAGUGCAGAAAUUAAAUACCAAAGAAAUCAAGCUGCCAAUAAACAAACUGUCUAAUGAACUGAAGAAACAGUUGUUUUUUUUUUAAAUAAAGCCAAUAAAUAUUUC